UCUAAUAUGGCAGAUAAAUGCAAUGAAUUUAAGAUUCAUUAAUAAAGAGUAUUCUUUUUUUAGAA
RNAcentral lists this transfer RNA (65 nucleotides) under Thaumastocoris safordi. RNAcentral's name for it is "tRNA-Leu". The record is from RNAcentral. Lineage: Eukaryota; Metazoa; Arthropoda; Insecta; Hemiptera; Thaumastocoridae.